This 654-nucleotide long non-coding RNA is filed under the name Homo sapiens (human). RNAcentral's name for it is "non-protein coding lnc-MYOT-66:1". The record is from RNAcentral. Lineage: Eukaryota; Metazoa; Chordata; Mammalia; Primates; Hominidae.
GUGAGUACUAUGAGGCCACCACAGAAAGACCACAUUAGGGCAAUGCCCACCUACUCCAGCAGCUCCAUACCAGCAGAGCUACCAGUGUAUGAUUCCAGCCCAAGAGAGCUAUGGUUGCAAGAACCAGAGACACUGUAGGGGGACAGGGCUGCCUGGAGCCAUCAGGGGCCCAAACCCUGCUAGGCAAAGCCGUGGGGGCAACACAGCCAUCUCAAUGGGUCCAGAAGGUCAAUGUCACUGUUCCGAAGCUAGACUUGCAGUUCACUGGGAAGCAUGACACCACAGCACCUCCAGCUGUGGACGCAUCAUGGACAAGCCAGGCUGAGAGGAGAACUUCUCAUUACUUGCAGCACAGCAACAUUGGGUUCAAUGUAUGCCCAUGAAAAACCUCAUUUAAGAGAAUGCCUUGGAAAGGUGCCAAGGUCCCCAAACUAAUUAACUUUCAUCUCUCCUGGCCCUCUGCACCCUCUCUCCAUGAGGAACAUUAAACAUAGAACAUCAGCUUGAGAACACUCUAUUUAAAGCAAAAGUCCUUCUAAAGAUAGCCUUGAACGUCCAUCUAAAUCAUCCUAAGUCCAUUUUCUGGCCCAGAAUCCACAAGGCCAGCGCCCCCGAUGGGCCCUACUAUGGUGGCUUAUAUCCAUAAAGAAUGUC